CUACGGAGGCUCCAGUGAGGAAUAUUGGACAAUGGGGGAAACCCUGAUCCAGCAAUGCCGCGUGUGUGAAGAAGGCCUGCGGGUUGUAAAGCACUUUCGGUUGGGAGGACUGCUUCUAGCACUAAUAUUGUUGGAAGUUGACGUUACCUUCAGAAGAAGCACCGGCGAACUCCGUGCCAGCAGCCGCGGUGAAUACGGAGGGUGCAAGCGUUAAUCGGAAUUACUGGGCGUAAAGCGCGCGUAGGCGGCUAGAUCAGUCGGGUGUGAAAGCCCCGGGCUUAACCUGGGAACUGCAUCCGAUACUGUCUAGCUUGAGUACAGGAGAGGAGAGUGGAAUUCCACAUGUAGCGGUGAAAUGCGUAGAUAUGUGGAGGAACACCAAUGGCGAAGGCAGCUCUCUGGCCUGAUACUGACGCUGAGGUGCGAAAGCGUGGGGAGCAAACAGGAUUAGAUACCCUUGUAGUC
RNAcentral lists this ribosomal RNA (465 nucleotides) under uncultured bacterium. RNAcentral's name for it is "partial 16S ribosomal RNA". It matches the Rfam family "Bacterial small subunit ribosomal RNA", at positions 339 to 795 of the family's 1533-position model. The record is from RNAcentral.